UACGUAGGGGGCAAGCGUUAUCCGGAUUUACUGGGUGUAAAGAGCGCGUAGGUGGGAAGACAAGUCAGAUGUGAAAGACCUAGGCUCAACUUAGGAACUGCAUCUGAAACUGUCAUUCUUGAGUGCUGGAGAGGAAAGUGGAAUUUCUAGUGUAGCGGUGAAAUGCGUAGAUAUUAGGAGGAACACCAGUGGCGAAGGCGGCUUUCUGGACAGUAACUGACGCUGAGGCGCGAAAGUGUGGGGAGCAAAC
RNAcentral lists this ribosomal RNA (250 nucleotides) under uncultured prokaryote. RNAcentral's name for it is "partial 16S ribosomal RNA". It matches the Rfam family "Bacterial small subunit ribosomal RNA", at positions 524 to 773 of the family's 1533-position model. The record is from RNAcentral.